UACGAAGGGUGCAAGCGUUACUCGGAAUUACUGGGCGUAAAGCGUGCGUAGGUGGUUCGUUAAGUCUGAUGUGAAAGCUCUGGGCUCAACCUGGGAAUGGCAUUGGAAACUGGCGACCUAGAGUGCGGUAGAGGGCAGUGGAAUUCCCGGUGUAGCAGUGAAAUGCGUAGAGAUCGGGAGGAACAUCUGUGGCGAAGGCGACUGCCUGGACCAGCACUGACACUGAGGCACGAAAGCGUGGGGAGCAAACAGG
Molecule: ribosomal RNA, 253 nt
Filed under: uncultured bacterium
Lineage: Bacteria
Description: partial 16S ribosomal RNA
Rfam family: Bacterial small subunit ribosomal RNA
Source: RNAcentral